AAGCACCAUUAUCCAAGUUAUUUAUGCUGUGAUUACAAAAUUUUGAAUAAUUUUUAAUGUAAUGUAAAGUUUGGUUGGCUCAGCUCAGGUGAUUCCUUGCCAGGCCACACCUAUGGGAUAGGUCAGAUCUUGCUUUUAACAAACAUGCAGGAUGGCAGAUCAUGUGCUUCAAGAAGCAUCUCAUUCACAAAAGAGACUGAGAAGAGGAGCUGCAAGACAAUGCUGAAAAAAUUGAAGCUACUGAAAAAUGGGUGAGAAUGAUGAAAUUAGACAGGAGCUUUAUGAACAAAUGGAAUUUAUCACUAAACAAAAAGAAACAAUUGAGGCUUUGCAAGUAAUAAAUAGAAAGCUCACUGAAGAUUUACAAAAAUUGAAGGACACGUUUACAAAAAAUUUAGUAGAAAAAGAUGAGGCAAUAGCUGCAUGCUCUACAACAAGCUAUUGACGAUAAAAGCCAAGUUGUGUCUCAGUCACAAAAAGCACUUGAGCAACAGAUAAAAGAAGCUAAAGCUCAAUUAGAAGCUAAGCAAGAGAUGAUACAUCAACUAGUUGAGAAAUGGCAAGUCAAAGAA
Molecule: long non-coding RNA, 572 nt
Organism: Amphimedon queenslandica
Lineage: Eukaryota; Metazoa; Porifera; Demospongiae; Haplosclerida; Niphatidae
Exons: 4
Source: RefSeq, a predicted model, not a curated record